This 184-nucleotide ribosomal RNA is filed under the name Tomentella testaceogilva. Its description in RNAcentral is "partial 28S ribosomal RNA". It matches the Rfam family "Eukaryotic large subunit ribosomal RNA", at positions 1 to 172 of the family's 3401-position model. Lineage: Eukaryota; Fungi; Basidiomycota; Agaricomycetes; Thelephorales; Thelephoraceae. The record is from RNAcentral.
UUUGAACGUUCGAUCUCAAAUCAGGUAGGACUACCCGCUGAACUUAAGCAUAUCAAUAAGCGGAGGAAAAGAAACUAACAAGGAUUCCCCUAGUAACUGCGAGUGAAGCGGGAAGAGCUCAAUUUAAAAUCUGGCGUGCCUCUGGUCGUCCGAGUUGUAGUCUAGAGAAGUGUUUUCGUGCUGG